Numida meleagris (helmeted guineafowl) is the source of this 29519-nucleotide long non-coding RNA. RefSeq lists it as uncharacterized. Lineage: Eukaryota; Metazoa; Chordata; Aves; Galliformes; Numididae. The record is from RefSeq and is a predicted model, not a curated record. The transcript has 3 exons.
CUUCGUGGCAUCUUGCUGUAAGCAGCAAAAGAAGCGUUGGAUAGAAAGCAGCAAGAUGAGUGAUGGCUCUUGGCAGGUUCAUUCAUCAACAGCACUAUUACUCAUUUCAUACAUUGCCACCAGCUAACGUAGCAAAAACACGGCAAGGAAAACGUGCCUAACAAAUGAUUGCUUCAUUUAUUGAAAGGGUCGUGUACACCGGUGCAAUAAGCUUUUACAAAGCACGUCAGUGCAGGAAAAUGAUCAGAAAGCUGUGGAAUCAAUGACAAAAAGGACAGGAGGGCCUUGAUAGGUUGCCCCGUUCCCGUGUCCUAGGUAGGACGAACUUUCCUGUAUCUUACUGCCACUCUUUAAGAUGUACAAUGAUUAAUUUUGAGAAAACCGGUUGAAAAGUUCCUGGUGUUUGUCAAACAGCACGUCGAAGCUAGCAAAAGGUUAAUAAUGCACCAGUCAUGUUUUCCAUCCGAUAGUUGGUAAUUAACAAAUAUCACGGCCAAGACACCUCAGAUUAAGCAAUCAAGAAGCCAUAAAGAGAUAUCCAGUUGCAGUCAUUCACAUUUCAGCUCAUUUGCUCAGAAAGAACCGUUCCGAUCAGAGCAGGGUGCAGCGGCCAGGGCACCCCGCGCCGCUCACCUACAGCAUGGCACGUGUGCUCGGCGCUCUGCAGCAGCAGCUGCACGCCUCCACCUCCAAAGGUUUUGUUCUCCUUUGUGGUAUGCGAGCAUUUCUCAGCGGUGAGUCAAGGCCAGGAUUCCCCUACAGAGCGCCGUGCAGCACAGGGCAGCACCGUGCACCUGGCUUCGCCCUAUCCAGUGGCUACUUAGGGUUUUCCAGAUCUGCUUUCUGCUUGGAAAGAACUCGAGCCAAAAUUCCUGACCGGUCAUAGUUCACUUCAUCAUUAAUAACUCGGGGAGGUCUUUUGUAAAUUUCAUAUGCAGGGGAAUGCUGGUAAGCACAAUCACAUCAGUGUUAAACAAACCAAUGGUUAAAAACAGUCACUCUCGACUUAAAUACUGCGAGCAAAAAGAAGAUGUUGAUCCCAAGCUUUUGAGCCUCGAGCAACUUGAAGUAUCAGUGGAAGAACACCACCUGUGGAGCUUUGUCUUCCUUUAAAUCUUUUUGUAUAUAUACAUAUGAACAAAGAAACAGCCCACGACAAAUCUAAAACCCCAGUUAUGGUGGAGUUUCACUCUCCUUAUUGUGCCGAUACCUUCCUAUCAGUUCUAAAGACACACAGACACGUGGUCAUGCUCAGUCUGCAUGAACACAUUAAGGCUGAGCUCGUGAUGCUUGAUCUGCUUCGACACUGCUUCAUGCUGGAGCAGAUAGAAAGUGUGGUGACCUAAGGAUGGUGAGCUAAGACAAGCAGACCUUCACGUUCAUCUCCAGCGUUGUUUAGAAGAACUCUUCGCCACCCGCCAGAUCCAAACUGUGAUGACUAAGGUUGUUAUCCUUAAUGGAUGCUGUGCAGUUCUGAGUUUGCUUGAGGCAGGGAGGGGGGAGGCAAGGAGGGAGCUGGGGGAGACGCUAGCAGGAGGUGUUCUGUGUAAGUGCCAAAGAAAGGAAAAAAAAAACAAACAGUAAGCAGAUGCUUGCAUGGUCCUGAAAAUGCAGGAGAAAAUUGGUAGUAUGUGAAGUCACUGGGAAAUUGGAAAUGUCCCAUUGGGUCAAUGAGGGUUAUGCCUGGGCAUACUUGUACCCAGCUUUAACACCACAGCCUCACACUAAGAGUACUUAUGCUGGGAACCAUGAAACAGCUUGAGGAGAACUGCCAGAAUCUGAUUUCGUCCAGCUGGGUGGCGAGAAGGCGGUUUGGCUCCUACUCUUCCUCCUUUUCUUUAUUUGCACUAGCUUCCACUGUCACGAUCCUCCCCUCGCGGCCAGCCCUCAGCAAGAAGCCCGAUGGGAGGAGUAAGGGUGCCAAGUUCCUCCCUGGCUGUUGGUGGGUGACUCACGGAGCUUCCCAGCCACCACCACCCCUUCCUGCCGGCGCUCGGCGAGGGCUGACUCAGGUGUGCCGGGAACCGCGCUCCCUGCGCCUUCAGUGGGGGCUACGUGGAGGGUGCCAGGAGGGAAAGGGACGUGUCGGAACUCGCUGCUUCGCCGGCAGCGAGGCUCCUUUUACAUAGAGAGUGCUUUGUUCGGAGCUGGAAGGUAAAGAAGGAAAUUCAGAGUCUCUGAACAGCUGCCGGACAGCGCCAAACGUUCCCAGUAGGGCCCAGUGAAAAUCUCUCCUUGUGCUGUUGGGUGUCCCGCAGGGUUAGCGAGGUGACGGCCAGGGAAGGGAAGUUUCUCUUCCCCUGGCGCUUCCCCUGGAUUCACACCGCACAGCCGCAGCUGAGCGCGGUCUGCCCGGGCACGCAGAGGGCAAUCGCGCCCAACCACCACGUGGUGGGACUGAAGGGCAGCAGCACGCGACCCUAUGUCCAAAGGAUCCGCGUUCUGCAGGAAAAAUAGCAGCUCUCAGGCCAGCCUUUUUCAUCCCAAUUAAACCUGAGUGGUGGUAUAAGGACCAAAGGUCUGGGCUCCACGGAUACCAUCAAGCUAGAGAAGAAACACAGGAAACGAGCAGAAUUCCUUUUUCUUUUCUGAAAUAUUUUAUAGCAGUGUGCGGCACCAAAAUCAGAUUUAGAUGAAAACAAGCUACCUCUCUUCACCUGGCCUAUGAACCAGCAGAUCCUACUCUACACGUCUGCUAUUUCUCCUGGCUAGAGCAUUUCCUAUAGCCUGCUUUGUCCCCCAGUCCGUGAGGAAGACGUGGAAGUGGUGAAUCAUUUGAGAGCUAAAAAAAAAGACGUGUCAUGACUGAUCACUUCAGUCCUGCUGCUUUAUCGAGCUCACAAUUGCGUUUAAUGUCCAGAGUGGCCUGUUCUGGCAUGCCAGCAUCACUUGGGGUUAUGCUCUGCCUUCCUCUUCCCUAGAUCUCUUUAUUUUUUUUCACAUGGCAGUGCUGAUGACUUAAGACACAUUUUAUUUAACUCUUCUAUUGGCAAAAGCUGCUGUGAGGUGUGCUUGCAUGGGGCAGGCUGUGAACGUAAUGGUCUCCCCAUCUGCUUGCUUUAAAAGAAAGGGGAAAAAAAAAAAGGUUUAACCCCAUCUGACAGCUGAUGUAAGGCUCAGCCCUUCUCCCCUCCCCAGUAAUCACAUUAUUCACUGGGAUGGAAAAACAGAGCCGGUGUUCAUUUCCUCCAUUCCCACACCUUGCAACCCGGCACAAGCUCCUGCCACCUCUUGCCCUUCAGGGACCAAUUACUGCAGGUGAAACCGAACGCAGGAGCAGUGUUGCUAGGGGUGGGAGGUGGGGACUGGGACUUAACGCAACUUUGGAAGCCCAGCAAGAAAUCCAGAUGGGCAACUGCAAGCCUCCUAGAAAGGAAAGCUGGGGGCGAUUUGGAAAUGGCAUGUAUAGGGGCUGCUGGGGCCGUCCCCAGGGCACGCAGCUUUGAGGAGGAUGCUGCCUGCGCAGGAGUGGUGCAGCACCGGGGGCCUUCAAGCUUUAUUCCUUGCAGUAUUCUUUCCCAUCCGUGUGGUGACACUGUCAGAAUCCAACCUGUUACUGGAGGUAGAUAGAGGGCGAGCUUGAAGAAUUCGAACUCGGUGCAUCUAGGCUUCUGUAGAUGGGCCUCAGAGCGAUGGAGUGGCUUGUGUUCUCCUCCUCAUGCCUCUGACCCCUCUGUUCCCUCUGACUGAGACGGAGAAAUGAGCCACAAACAGUUUUAAAAACAUGUAAGAAAGCAAAAGCUGCUACCACGGAGGAGAUGCAGGACAGCACCGCGUUCUCCCCGCUUCUUUAUUUCUCAGUUUUCCUCCCUCAGCGCAGAGCACGUGGGCACAGCUCCCACUGUCUGCAAACAUCUUGGAUCUUGUGCGCCUGUAUCACAACUUCUUCCUCGAGAAACAGCCCCUUUCCAGCUUUGUUCCUGUAAUUACAGCGCGACACAGGAUGGACGGGGAGAGGAGGGCCGUAAUUAGGAUCCGUUCAAAAAAGCAUUUCCUGUGCUGAGCACAGAUCUCCUGCCAGCGCUGCCGCUGCUGUCUCCCGACCGCUCAUUCUGCACGCAGUGCCAGCUGUCACCAAGCCACGCUUCGCCUCCUUUUUGCUUUGUGCAAAACCUUGAUUUUCCCUUUUUUUCCCCCCCCAUCCCUUUCCCUGGUGGCACUGUCAAGCGAAGCUCGCUGUACGACGGCACUGCUCCGUGCGGCUCUAGCGUCUUUCAUCUCAAGGUUUAAUGCUGCAUUCAAGCAUUGCCUGUGAACUAUCUACAUUUUAAUUUUUCUUCAUUUUGUGGUUGGGCGCGCUCGUCUUUCUUGGGUUAUUUUGUCACACUUUAGUCCAAAGCUGCGCCUUUGGAGACUGUGGAUGCAUUUCUCUCUGUGAAUAGCUGCCAUUUGCGGUGAGAGGUGUAGAAAAAUGCGGCAUUUUGACUCCUGGGAGCGUCCUGACGUUAAAGAACAGCCAGCGACCUGAAGAUGCUCCUUCCAGAAGGGAUUUUCCAUGUUGGCAGACAAAGGACUGCUGUAGUUUCUGCAGCAAUCUCCAAGGCAGUGGCUUCCAGUGCGGUGUAGAACCACGCCUACGAUGGAGGAAUAAUCAUAGAAUCCUAGUAUUGCCUAGGUUGGAAACGACCUUCAAGAUCAUCAAGUCCAACCUCAGUCUAACCAUGCUGCCCUAACCCUAACAACCCACUGCAUAGAAUCGUAGAUAAGGAUGAUUCCUUUUCCAAAUCACCACAUUGCAGGUUCCUGCAAUGACAAACCCGUGUCACAACAAGAAAAAUAGGUCAGGUUUUCCUUCAGUGUAACGCCUUGGGGACAGGCUGACAUCUGAGAUUCAUGCAACUGAUGCACCGCUUCCUUAAUACUAAUAAAUUGUUUUUAUGGGAAAGAAAGAUCAGCACUGCUCCCCCGUCGGCGAGCUGAAAAGUGUAACAUUGCUAAGCACAUCUCUAACACUGAACGUGCAAUUUGUAAAGCCUAGCAUUUCCUAACACCUACCAGGUUGGAUAAGUUGUUUUGUGUUUUUAUUGUUUUUACUAUUUGGCAUCCAAAUGUGCGCAGUCCGCGAAGCAGCGCUUAGCUUCCUCAUUUGAAUGAUCCGUGCACAGUUGAUCCCUGCUUUACAAAUGGCAUUCUGCUCACUCGUUGCUGGCUGCGUUGGUUCCGGGAGCUCAUGGAGAACUGUGAUGCUGUAGCUCUCUUCCUGCAGGCCUCAUCCACACUACGUGUUGGUCUUCUUUCCUGACUUUCUUUCGUGUCCUCUUCUCUGAGGACAAGGCUUGAUACUUCUUGCCCUGAUAGAAUCACAGGAUCACUGAGGCUGGAAAAGACCUCUAAGAUCAACCUGUCCAACCGUCCACCUACCACCAGCAUUGCCCACCGAACCAUGUCCCUAAGGAUUAUGUCCAACCUUUCCUUAGACACCUCCGUGACAGUGACUCCCCACCUCCCUGGGCAGCCCGUGCCAAUGCAUCACUGCUCCUUCAGAGAAGAAAUUCUUCCUAAUAUCCAACCUGAUGACACACUCACCAUCUGAAACCCGUAUAAAAUAGAUCUAAAAGGCAUCCUAUCAGGUCGCAUGCUUGUCCCGCUGUGUCACUGCCUCGCUAAUGCUGCUCCAUGUGAGCAGGCAAGACUGUGUCAAAGAUGAAUGAUCAAGGUAACUGAGCACCCAUUCACGUGUUUUUCAGUUAUCCCACAUCUCGGGAACUCUCUCAGGAUUCCAGAAUCGGUUGGACUUACCUGAGCCUGCUCUACCUAUUGAAACAUACGGUUGCCAACAGUGUGGAUAGCAGCAGGUAACCAGAGUUUCUAAGGAAAGAGAGGCCCUCUCCCAUCUCGGUUUUAACAUUGGAGACAGGUUCAGAUCAAAACUAACCUCAGAAUCUCAACCAAGUUCAGUCACCGGCCGCAAAGCAGCACCUGUGCCUGAUGUUCCCAAGCAUAAAACCUCUGCCUGUGUCACACGAGCAAAGGGAUUUGGCAGCGGGGCCCUUGGAACAACUCAGGCUGAGACACAGUUGGCCCCUGGGCACAGAGCGGUGGCUGCAGGCUGUGACACUGAGCUGGGCACUGCCAUGCUCUGAGCCAAACAGGUUUGCGUUGCUCAGCAAGAUGACCUGCGGCUGACCCCUCCAGACACCGUCUCUGCGCUGCAUGCUCGCAGACUAAUGUUGUUUAGAGAUUGGCCAAGCUCAUGAGGUCAUCUCAUUCUUACAGACGCUUUUGGACUGCUGUGCGUGGCACUGGCGAAUUGGCUUUGAAAUACCCCUUGCAUCCCACUUCCAUGAUGAAGACUCCAUUCCCAGGGCCAAGUUCUCUGCACCGCUCCGAGCGUUCCCUUUUGGAUGGUGGCUGCUCCGUGGCUGCUUGCCCACCCAGAUGACGGCUUAGAAAAUGGACGUGGAUCUGCACUGACCUCUGCCUCAGGAAGCAGGUGAGUGCUGCAGCUUCUGCAGAUGAGAAGCUUAAGGUCUGCUCAGCUCUCAUGGCACUAGGAAAAUCCCAGCGUGGCUCAGGAGGCUCGGAUCAGGCCGCUCACUGUUCUUGCAGAGCCCUCCUGCCCUCGCCACGCAAACCCCAGCUCAGCAUGACAGCGCCUUUCUUCACCCCAGACCGGUAAUCAAACAAUCAAUGUGCAAAUCCAGCCCAACCCAGAGAAAUAAUUUGCACAAAACAAAGCAGCAGGGUCGCCCGUCCAAUAAGGCAGGGCAGACUGCUUUGAUUUCUUCAGUUUUAAAGCGUUUCUUAGCAGGUAGGGCUGAAUGCAGCUGAUCUUUGCUGAUCAGGGCGUUAGGUCUGUUUUUGCUAUGCAGCGGUCUGUUGUUUUAAACAACAACCUGUUGGUAGCAGACCCGAGUGAAAAAGCACCAGGAAACAAGAGUUCCAAAGCUGCUCAGGAAGGCGGUGUGUUUGUUCAGCAUUGCACGGAUUUCUGUGUCAGAGGAGAUGGUUGCACGCAUCAAGCCAUGAAUUAGCCGAGGCUUUUUUUGUUUCUUUUGCCUCACCAUUUUAUCAUCAUUAAAAAUUGCAGGCUCAGAGCUUUGAAAUCGCUUCGUUGCGUUAUUGUUGCAAGGGGAAGGUGUGUUUCUCUCGGGUAACGCAACUGGUUUCUGCCUCCACCAGAGUGCACAGCAGGAGGAGCCGGGAGCAGGUAUUCCUGCAGCGCUGGAAAACAGCAGCAGCUCUGCAGGCACGUCUCUGAGUGAGAUGCAGGCACUGCCUUCUGCUGUGGCUUGGCAUGUGAAAGCAGCCCAGCCCAAAUCCUGGCAACACAGACCAGCAGCUUAGAGAUAAUCCUCAAGGACCCAGUCUUUAAGAAAGGGGCUCAUUUUUCCUCCCAGUUGGUCUCUAAGUAUCUGCAGGUAGGAAAUACAGCGGGAGCUGCUUAUCAAUGACAGUCAUCUGUGUUUGUGGGUGUGAAUCAAGGCUCAGCUGCACACAGGACGUUUGCUUAUCCACAGCUAUUUGAACACGGAAAAGAGCAGGCAACUUCUCAGAACCCAGCUUGGCAGGGGUGUUAAGGACCUGUCUCAGUGCAGCUGCCAGGGCCUUUCCUGCACAUUCAGAGCCGCUCCAAACAGAGGAAAGACGUUCUGCGUGUGGUCCGAGGAAACCUCGGCGAGGAAGGUGCAGCCAGGCUUUGAGCUUCAUGGGAAAGAUAUGAAAAAAAGCUAUGAGGGAUUGAGCAAUGCCAUGGCCAGGUACCAAACUGCAAUGUGCAGGGAAGGAAGUGGCCAGCCUACGUUGUACCCGAGUUGGCCAUGGCCAUCCUUAGAUGUGUGUUCCCAAAGCCAGCGACCAAACUCCUGCAGUCCUCAGUGUGAGCAGGUUUGGGUGUAAUAACGUAGCCAACAUUGUCCAAAGUAGUAUUUCAGAUGGGUGGGUUUUUUCCCACUGAUCCCAACAAUAUACAGCUUUUUAGGUUCUUUUUAGUAUGUUUUGGGUCUUGCAGCUGGCUCUGCGUUACAAGAUUCUGCUCCCUCUGCUCUUGCUGUAAUCUGGAGCUUGCGUGCUCUUGGGAGUGAAAAUUAUGCCCAUUGUUCUACUUUUGUGGGUACUUGUGCUGCAGUUCACUGACUUGAUCCGCAGCAAACCUGUUUGUAACUGCAGAUCUCAAGUGGAAGAUUGUUCAAAAGGCUGAUGGAGGAUCGAGCUUAGGAACAGUCGUGAAACACAGAGCUGUGCUGGGGAUGUGGUGAUGCUGCUGUCGCCUCAGUUUUCCUUUACGGAUUCAUCAGCUUGCCAGGUGGAGGGUUUCAAGAAAGCAGGUACAUGCAAAGCUGUUACAACACCCAGUGGAAGCCCAAGGGGAGGGAGACGCUUACUCAUGGAGCCGUACCACGGGCUGAUGAUUCAGAAGCCUGCGUGCCACCAGCUCUGCACAGCGAGCUUCCUUGGGAGGCAGCGCACGAGCAGGAGGAAGGUGCUGACUCUCCUGGUAGUGCUCACUCCUGGCACGAGGCGGUGGUGAAGUCAGGGCUCUAUUUGCACUGUCACGCGAUGCAAUUAGGAAAGAUCUGCUCCUUCUGUCACUGCUGUCUGAACCAGCAAGCCUGUAUCGGAAUGGAAACCGUCUCCGUGUGGGCAGAGGUGUUGACGGUGCCACUUGGUUGCCCAAUAGGUUCCUGAUUACAUAUUAAGCUGGUCCAAAGGGAAGAGGAAUACUGUUUGCUCUAAUGAAAAGAUACAGUUUGUGGGCGAGGAGAAGGAAACCAGAUCAAUGGUCAGAGUUUCUCUGCUGGACUGUGACAGCUGGAAGAGCUUGGCUGCUGCUGCUAAUUCUUGAUAGGCAUGUAUAGACAAAUAGCGUGUGAGCCAUUCCUCCUCCUCGUGUGAUCUUCACUGAGCUUUCUCUCAGCCUCCCUUUACCUAUAAUACAUGCUAUAGUGUUUGAGGAAGUCGGUCCAUCAUUCCAGUGGUAGUGUGGCAUUUGCAGCUGGUGCCUGCAUUGAGGCCUUGGUACUGGGGUGCGUCCACGUGCCCUCCUGCAGGCUCACCCAGCCUUGCCAGACUUGGCCCGUCCACUCGAGCAGCUCGCAAUCUCACUUGGUUCUAGAAAUCCGUAUUUUCAGAGCAAAGGUCCGUGUGAAGAGGAAGAGUGAUGAGGGAGACAACGUGAAAUGGAAGUGCAAGCAGAAGGGAGAACAUUUGUCAGAGCUGCUUGCGGAGCCAUUGAUGUGGCCACCAGCGCUGGGCUCCAUUUACCUGCCCAGUUGCUGGGCCUGCCUGAAUGUACCAGAGAUUAGUAGGGCAGGAAAACACCUGCUUCCACUUAACCGAUACAAGAGGAAACAAAAGGCAAGAAAAGCUAUGGCCUGAGCAACGCAGGACUGGAUGAAAGGUAAUAUGCAGCUUCAGAUUGGCAGUUGGCAGCCAUAACCCUCAAUUUAAAGCAGCUGAGAGUCCCAGCUCUUUAGAUCUGAAAUCUUGCUGCUAUGAAGAUGAAAGACUUUGUUUUCCCUCCUUUUUUUUUUUUUUUUUCCCCUCCUCCCUUUUUUUCUUCUUCUUUUCAUUCAACUGUGGCCAAAUGAUGAAUAGGCAGAUGGGAGUCCGGGCAAACCCAGGUGCCAGGCUGCUAUGCUGGAUAAUAGGCAGCAAGGAGGGGCAGGUAACUGCCAGAAGGAAAGGCAGAAACAUUCAGAUCCUCAUACACGAGCUCAGGGACCCCUUCCUCUUUCCCCUGGGGGAAGAUGAAGUUGUCUGGGACUCUGAUGUCCACAGAAUAGGCUUCAGUGUAGACAUGGGACUGACAUUCUGGUGAUAGAAAAGAAAGGAACUGAGUUUGGCGAGGGAUGCUGCUCAGCAUCUCUUCAAGCAGGGCUUUGAGGAAGGCUUUUUAAGUUUGAGUCUCAAAAUUAAUGUGUUGAACUGACUAUUCAGAAGGUGAGCAAACCUGGGCUCAGCGUCGUUUGAAGUACGCCGUCAGGAGGCUCUUGGUUUUCCUCUGUUUGCUUUGACCGGAGCCAGAACGCUUCUUCUGGCUGCUAACAAACAGGUUACACCAGGGAGACCCACCACAACGCCGCAGACUGGGCCCCUUGAAGUGAUUAAAGGCAGAGCCCAUGGGGCUCUCUUUGGUGCCAGGGUAGGGUUUUUGUGCUUGUGUAUAGGGUAGGGCAGGGAGGAUGCCUUACCUUUCCCUUCUUCACCAGCUUGUGCCCCGCGGAAGUGUAAUUUAAGCCUGGCAGAUCGGACGGUUGGCCUUAAGUUUGUGUGUUUACAAAGAGGGGGGCAAACAGAAGGGAAGGACUGCAAGAUUAUAAAACUUUCUUUCCGUGUUCAAAUAAAGCCUGACUCACCUGCCCACCACGUGUGUCAUCACUGGAGCAGUAAAGAAACAGUGAAACGUACCUGAGACCUUGCACACCACCACUGGCUAAACGUGUUUUAGCUGCAGCGUUUGGCUGCAUGCAAGCUGUCCCUCCAGGUUAUUGUACUGCUGCAAAGAGCAAUACGCUUCUCCCCUCCUCCUUUGCUUGCUUAACUUGUUAAGACAUGGAAGGUUCCUCCUGCUAUGACUCCUCUUCCUGACCUGACAGGUGGUGCCUUGAGCUGAACUUUGCUCUCACAAACAGGGCUGAGUUUCACAGAUCAGCCUCCCAUGGAGUGGACUCACCCAUCUGCCCAGAACUUAGUAAUUCCAGCAAGGUGCACUGCUGCGGCCGUGCCCGGUGCUGAGCCGAGUGCAGGCGCUCGCUGCACAAGCAAACAAGGUGCAAGGAUUCCACGUGCUUAAUCUCAUGCCUCUAACUCUAUAGACUGUGCAACGAGCUGCUGGGCACAGGUACGGAGAUGAAAGAGGUGGAGGCGAUGCAGGAAGUGAUACUGCUGUCUGCAGCCCUCAGAUGAAAAGAGCCAACACCUGUAUGGAUCUGCCCCGCUGUGACCCCUUCCUGCAGGGCUGUGCGAGGAACAAAGAGCUGUAAUAUUGGAUCAGAAGUCCGGCGUGCUUGGCAGCCUGUUUUCCGCAGCUACAUGAUAGGAACUUAGCAAAAAGAAAGAGGAAUGAGCUGCUAAGAAGAAUGGCUGUGAGACGGUUUGUUGAUAGGAGGUGUUUCUUCCCAACAUGAGUAGUGCUCCAUUGGAACCCUGUGGCGAGGAGCACUGCAUCCUUUCUUUAUCCAGUCCAAAGCCGUUCUCUAUAGCAGUGGUUUGUGUUUUCAUGUGAGCAUCCACUUCCUACCAAACUUUUGGUGUCAGUGACAUCCUGUGGUGUAGGGCUGUAUGGAUCUGUACCUGGGUUUGGGGUGGUUUUCGGGGCAGGGUUCCCACCUGCUUUAGCUUAUCUGCAUUUAUCCGAGGAGGAAUUAUUGAUGUGUUUGGUGUGCUGCCGAGUGCUCGUGGCCCAGAUGCAGCCCAUUCGUUCCAAUAACGGCAGAAACGAACGUUUCAGCAGUAGGUGUAACAAGCAGCACGUUAAUCUUUUUAAAGAUGAAAAAUAUGUAAUGAGGUCCUCUCUGCUGUGCUUCAUGGAGAUUUAUAAAGUGCGGAGCCAACACCUUCAGCAGAAAUACAUCAUUACAGCGUGCCAGGAAUUAAAUCUCAUGUCUUAGGUAGCUUAUAUUUCUGGCAUUAUAAUAAGUGAAUAAAUAGACACAGAAGGCAGGCAAGGGUUUGUCCAGUCUGCUGGUGUCACCUCUUGUGUUCAGGCUUGACUUUCCGAGGCCAUAAAGCCGUGGUGAAACCUCACUUCAGCAUCAUGGGAAACCAUUUGUUUACUAUUGCUGCAUUAGAAAAGAAUAGGAGAGGCUCAGCUGGCUGGAUCAUUAUAAGGCACCAGUGGGUAUUGUAUGGCUUAGUCCUCUCCUUAAUGUUCUUAUGCUGUAAAUCAUUUAUUGGGAACUUGGGUACGUCUGAGUCCAGCCGGUACAUAACUAUUUCUGAUAUAAAGGGACUGUUUGGAGUUAAACAACUUUUGAAGAAUAGAAAUGAAAACUGUUUUCAGUUUCACAGGCUUAUGUGGCAGUGUAAUCCUCCUGCUGUAAAUAGCUGUACUGAUGGAAAUAGGAAGGCAUGAAAAAUCAAAGCACUGGGCUGGAACACAAUAGAGUGGAUGUUCUGGCUCUGCUACAGAUUUUUCUAUAUGAUGUUAAGCAAGUCACUUCGGCUCUGUUAAUCCCUCUGGUUCAAUUCCUCCCAUAUAAAAGUGUGCUUAUUCUUUAUAGACAACUUCAGGCCAACAUCAUGACUGUUGUAAGGUACACGGGCACGGUGCCGAUGGGCUGAAUAAUAUCCCAGACACGAAGCCGAGCCUCAUCCCAAAGACAGAUUGGAGGUUCGUUACAUUAACAUAUAUGAGAUUGUCAAGGGGGAUCUUUAGGGAUGUCAAAGAAUUUUGCAGACAAAAUCAGCAUCGCUCUCAUUACAAUGCCAGAAGAAAGUCUCCCUGGCCUGCAGCUUCCAGUGUGCAAAAGAUGAGAAAAUAACCAGCCCGAAGCAAGGUACAACAGCCACACACAGACACUGCUGAGAAUUUACAGCAAACUUCCUUGAAAGGGGCUGCAAAAGCUACAUAGAAAGUAAGUCACUGUUUGGCUUUGUGUUAUUUUAAGUGCUGUUACUAAUCAUGAUUAGGGCUGAGCACCAGUUCUGUGUAAGCCCUUUUUGCACAUCCCUCAACACUUUCAAAACAAGGUUAUGUCGUGGAAGAGACUCCACUUGUCAGCAUCCCAGAAGCAUUCUGUGCAGGGAAGGGGAAACAGGGAUUUUUCUCAGCAUCGAGAAUGGAAUUUCUAUCCGACCUAUCCAGGAGUGAAUACCAGCAGUCUGAGCUGGCGUGUGCUGAGAUUGUUGGGUUUUCAGUCACAGUAGCCCUGAAAGGAUGUAGUAAUCCAGGGCCAGGUCGGAUGGGGCCCUGGGCAGCCUGAUCUGGUGGUUGGCAACCCUGGUUGGAGCUCGAUGAUCAUUAAGGUCCCUUCCAACCGAAGCCAUUGCAUGGUUCUAUGAAUCCAGCUGUAGGCCUCUGCUCUUACUAGCCUGUGCACCAGGACACCGGAGUUCUGGUCGGACUCUUUUGUUAGUUUCUGAAAUUAUUCCACUUGCCAAGACUAAACAAAGGUGGGAUCCAAGCCGCUGCUUUCAAAGAUAAAGAAAUAAUCAGCUCUUGUGGAUUCACCAGCAAAAUCACGGCUGUGUCCUACAGAAAGUCCUCGCAUCUCUUUGUGCCUUAUGUUGCCCCAGUGUACUUUACAUCCUUCACUCGGGAAAGCAGUCAGCAACCCAGCAACGUACUGCUGUUGCAGGUUAGGUGACCGAGGUGGGUUUCAGUGAAACAACCACAUUUCUCAUUCAACAGGUGUUCUAUUCCGGCCGACGGAACAGCCCUGCAAUAUUUCUCAGCACCGAACCGGUGGCUCCGCGUCACGCCAGCCUUCGGGGUGCCGGGGAGGAGCGUGAGGUGGAGCAGGAGCACCGGAUCGGAGCCCACGCUCGGUAAAUAAUCGAUUCUUUGUUCGAGACAAGCAGCGGGGAGGCUGAGUGCCCCCGGAGAGGCCGCCUCGGCUCAGGGCUGAGGCCCGGCCGGCCGCUCCCCACGGAGGACACACCUGUUGGGGGCCAGCGGCCGCAGAUUGGCUGGGCGCGAGGAAUGCACCUGCGCAGGGAGGGGUGAAGGACUACAUGUAAGACGAGCCCGUAGACACUCGCCGUCUCUUCUCAAUUCCAGCUUAAACAAGCAGCAGAGCUCCGGGCUGCGAAGAAAGCCACGCGUGGUUUAAUCCUUUUGCUUUCUUUUUUUUUUUUUUUUUUUGCUUUCUUUUUUUUUUUUUUUAAUUUUCUAUUUUUUAAUUCGGUUAGAUUUCGGUAGGCCGAGAGCACUUUGAGUUGCGUUGUUUUUUUCAGGUACGGUUCUAUUUUUUAUUAUUAUUUUUUUUUUUUGCUCCCUUCGCUCCGUGUGAAUCUCGCUGCGAACGCCUCUCGCUCCGAGUUCGUCUUUUCCAGGACAUGGGGAAGAUCGGAAGACGAAAGCCCCGCCGUGCACCCGCGAUGGUCACUGCGUCCUUUUGGUUGCCCCCUCGAAGGCUGGUGAUCUUGGUUUGGGAAAAGGUGCUGUGCAUUCAGCGCCGAAGUUGCUUGAAUUGUGUGUGUGUUCGUGGUACUGGUAAGCCACGGUGUCCAGGUACUGUGGUAGCAAUGAUCUGAGUAGCACGCGGCAUGACUUCUUCAGUGCUUUUCAUACCUCUGUUCGUCCUCUCCACUUCACUUUUUCGCAGGGCUCUGUCCUCUUUUUUCUUCCUCCUUUUCUCCCCAGGUGGAUUAAAGAGGGUUUUGUUGUCGGGAUCAGGUUUUGUCUGCUCAGUUCUGGGGGAGGGGGAGCGGCGCAUGAAUCCAGCGUUCAUUUUCCAACCAGCCAAACCAGUCAGGGCAGGCAGAGCAGAACCAAGAAACCAAAUAGGAGGGAGCCAUGGGGGAAAGCCAGUUUCACCCAGGUGUCCUGGAGAGCUUGGAAAAAAGACUCCAUCUGAGAAGUCUUACGGCAACUGAAAUGGGACGGUAUAAAAUUGGGGAGAUCCAUCCAAAGAGACGCAUUGCAUUUCAACGAGGACCCAGCUUGGGCAGUGCUAACGGUGACCUUUGAAAUGCAGCACGCUAAUGGGCUCCUUCUCCUUUUCUUUGUGGUGAUUGCCAUUUUUCAAUUAGAUUCUAAAUCAGUUGCCAUCUUAACGUAUUUUACUGCAACCACAAAACGCCCGACCCUCUUGUUUUAGUGGGUUCUUUGGAGCAGGAAUUAAUUCCUCAGCUUCAGCGCUGGAAGUGAAGGAAGGAGAUCUGGAACUUUUCAGACCACCUCGCUGUGGUGGAAGCGAAGGGGAGGUCUCGCCCUUCCUCACUCAUCGCUUUCCGCUCAUGGCACGGAGGAGCCAUUUUGGGUUCGUUUUGUUUAUUCUGUUCUUACCCGAGGCUUUUUCGUGUGUGUGUGCAUGACCAAACGAGCACCAUUAGGGCUUCUCGCUCUCGCUGCCAGCCCGACCAGCCCCUGCUUGCACUGCCUGCUCGGACACCGGGGAGCAGGAGACAAAACAAAGCGCUUGGCUGCCUGGUGAGGUGCGAGCCUGCUCGUGGGCUGCUUCCACAGACGGGAAGAUGGAGGCACCUAAAAAAGCUCCUUUUUGGCUCCUCGUUGGGCUGGCAGCUGGAGGGCGACGCUGUUGACGUGGUAAAUUUGGAUGAGGAGAGAGAGGUGUUUUGUAAGCAAGCAGGCUCCGUGUGUAACGCAGCCGACCGGAUUCAGGAAGAGGCGCUGGGCUGGCUUUGCAGACACUUUGCAGUCAGCAGAAAAUGUUUGCUCACGCGGUCCCUCCACCCCUCCACUGAAAUGGCCUUCGAGAAGGUUCUGCAAGGCGCCGAGUUGGGCCAGCCAGAGCCAGGGGAUGGGGCUUGUCCUGAGCCUGCCCUGAUUGAAUACUGCUGGAUUCGGCUGGUUUCAAAAAGGUCUUUAAUUUCUGAAAAAAUUCGUCCAAUUUGCAUGAAAUGCUGCUGGAUUACUUACCCCCUCCUUUUCACUGAGGCUAGUUCUUGAUUUUUGUUUUUAUUCUUGCCUAUAUCUUCUCUCUGUAAUUGCAAAUAUUGCCUAAAUCACAUUCCUUUGAAAGAAAAAGUUAGAGGCUUUCGUUUUGUUCUAGACUGCUCUGACAGAAGAUUAGUUUGUGCUUGCUCGAGUCUCAGAGAACUGCAUGACGACUGAAAAACUGCAUGCCCUGUUUAUGCACAAAUACCAAGCCAGAUAUGAGCUUUUAUCCAUUCCCUCUUGACUUUUCAAAUUCAGUACCGGUUUCAGUCCUUUUAAUUGGUUUAGAUCCCUUUUUUAAUUUAGCUGGCAUUGCGGCUGUGCCUGACGCUCAGUGCCCACGCAGAGCUGGAGGUUGGUACGUGCAAGACUUCUGCAAGUACCUUCGCUUGUGGGUGUCUAAAGGGCUCUCAAAAUUAAUUUGAAUUUAAUCAUUGAGUUAUUAGAAGUCAUUACUGAAUGAGAAUUUGAGCUCUGAAAAGGCACCGUUCCACAUACGGGUAACUAAAUUGAAGCAACUCAAAGAAAAGCACAGAAAUGCCAGGAUUCGGGAAAGUAUUAGCUAAAUUCUGAAUUCUGUCUCCUUCUCCCAUUCUGCCCAGCAAGCGAUGAGCCUGGUGAAGGCAUAAUAAGUUCUCAGAAUAAUUAUAUCACUCACCAUUAUGAUCAUGGCUGUAUUAAUACAUUUCAGGAACGCUAACAGUCAGAACGUACAAAUCUGGCACCUGAGUGCUGGGGCUGGCCAGCAGCAAACUCUAUUCUCCAGAUACAGUGAUGCCAUCCAGUGUUUCCAAGAGAUCAGGGGCUCAGUGCUUCUCCUGCCCUUGUUAACACCAAGUGCAGUGCUGCUCUGUGCAGGGAAUGAGCUGAGGGGCUGCAGGUCCCAGAGCUGGCCUGACCUGCUGACACAGAUUUACCAGUGCAGGCUGCUGUGUAAAAAUUGAGCUAAGCUUCAUUUCAGAAAGAAAAGAAAAAUCCUCUCCAGAACAAUGCUUUUAAUUUAAUCAGGUCCAAAGUGAAUGAAAGGGCACAUUAAAAUAUGCUUGUAUGACCACAUGCCAGCUGAUGGUAGCGUUUGGAAAUCGCUUCCAUGAGAUAGCCAUAGAGCUGUAAAAACUCUCCUAGGCUUCCCCUUUUGUAUGGAGGUUUGCUCAUGUAGGAAAUAGGGUUUUCUUUGUGUCCUCAAUCUGAAAAAAAAAAUGGAGAAAGGUUGAAGCGCUAAUUUUCUACAUUUCUAACAAAAUAAAGCACAUAAUGGGAUUUCAAAUUGCAAAAAAUGCAAAUUGGACAUAUAAAACGAGUGCAAUCAGGUGUUAAUUUGUUAGAUAUUUUGUUUGCAAAACAAGUUAAUUAGAAUGUCCUUACCAUAUUUCGGGCAGGGGAAAGUGGCCUGAGGAAAUCACAUUUUACAGUCGGGACGCGCAUUUCACAUUAAUUAGUUUUUCUUUUAAGGGCUGUGUCAUUAGAGUCUGAUAAGUCGGCGUUAGAGGCUUACUUUUUAUUUUAAUCUUUGGUGGUGGUGGAAGGAAUGGCAAUCAAUGAGCCAAGCAAACUCCAGAAACAACCUGGUUCGUGCUGAUGCGUUUAAGCUCCCAGCUAAGCCUGGCUGUCCUUUCCAGCUCCAGGUACAGCUUUUAUCUGAUGGAGCUCGAGAUAUAAAGGCUUAAGUUUCACAUGCUUUGUUCUUUUCAUCGUCCGUGCCUAUUGAUUAAGGCUCACCCUGCAGGUUAACCAACAAGUAAUUUUUCCCCCCACUGGAGCUGCAUUCCUUUCCCGACCUGCAGCUGCCUGGGCAAAGCCGGGCACCUCCGUGUCCCCCCUGGCAUAUCUGAUACCCGAUUAAUGGAUACCCCAUUGUUUUAGGGCUGGGGGAACUUUGAGGAGCAAGUGGGGGAGGCGGUAGGAAGCAGAAAAGGGGAGGAGAAAGAAAGGUAAUGCAGGUACAAACCUAAUUACUCCCGAUGUUUAAAAAAAAAAAGGGGGUGGGGUUCACUUAAGUUCCUUGUUUUCCACUCCUCUUCAGUCAUUCUUUCCUUUUUUUCUCAAGGCCUGAACAUUGGUAAUAGUGGUGAUGAUUAACUAAAUGAAGUCGGUAACCUGGGCGACCAUUAGGGUGGUUUUAUAUUUCAUGGGUACCGCAUAGCCGGAGAAAGCACGCCGUUGAGGACUCGGAAAAUCGAGAUGGGGCGUUUGGGAUUUUUCGGUGGUGGUUUGGAUUUUUGUUUCGGGUCCUUUCUUGGAUUGCGCUGCGUUGCUUUGCGUUUUGUGCCUGGCUGGUCCACAACGGUAAGGCUCCGACCGCCUUCCCCCGCGCUCCCUUCUGCUCCCACCUUUCUCGUUCCUUCUCUUCAUGACCUGUUGCUUCUGAAAGAUCCUGGGCACGACCAAAGUGCUCGGGCCCACCCGGAAAAUACUCUGCUGGGGAGAAGGAGGGAGGAUUAACUUCUCAAUAUAUCGGAUAUACGGUAGAUUAAUCGCCUUGGAGAUAUAUUUGUUUUUGAUGAUGCAUCUCAGACUUGCCCUGCUUCUGUCAUUAAGAGUCAGUGCUAUUCCCUCGAGACAAAGCAUUUAAUUUUGAGUUGUCACCACAUUGCCUUGAGUGAACUAAAGGCAGGUGCUGCCUUCUGCAGAACAAGAAGUUUUCCUAACUCUCACGAAUCGCUCGUUGAGCAGGCAGUGGUAACGUCAGCAGCAAGCUGGUGUGAUAGCUCGCGCCAUUUUUUGGUAAAUACGAACAAUUUACCUGCUCUGUAGGUAGUAAAUAAGUCUCACUGAAAGCAGACAAGAAAAAUGAGCUGAAAUUUAUUAGCACCGUGUGGCAGAAGUAGGCUAUCAGUCCCUAACAAACUAGUUUUAUUUUGUGAACUAGGUGGAAAAAAAAUGUGUGGGAUUUUGUAUUUCGAGCUGGUUACGGAAUCCCUAAUUCCUCUGAAAUUUGGGCUGUGCCUCUUGGGGGCACUGGCCCCAUAGCUGGUCAUUGCGAGCACCGUGUUGGCUGGAGCAGAAGGCUGCGGUGUGCAUUCCAACCACGGCCAAUUCCUGGCAGCUCUUGUAGUAAAGAAAAAGAAUUGUGAACGUUCUGUCUGUCCUGCAGACAGGUUGGCACAUGCUGAAGUGAAGACCCAAAUGCGUUUCUCAAAAUAUCACACAAAAUUGCAGUGAACCAUUUCAGCCAGUUUUUUAUAAAAUCAUUUUCCUAACUCUUAUUUGUUGCUAUCAAACUUCUACUGUAGCAGCUACUCCAGGUGCUAAACCCACGAUAAAGCUAAUUUUUGGGUCUCAGACUUACGAUGAUAAGAGCUGUGUAACCUCUUUAGCAGUUUUUGGUAUUAUGGAUAUACACCGUCUUAGGAUUGAUGUUGGUCCUUUGACUGCCAAUAUAGCCAUAAAAUCCCAAGUAUAUAUUUCCUUUGAACUUGUUCUCUACAAUUCACUUUUGAAACUUGUUUCCUAUAUAAAGUUUCUCCAAUGGUACUAAGGAGAAAAAGAACUUAAAUAGAUGCAAUGUUGUGCAGAAGAAAACACAAAGGCUCCUUCUCUUGUUCUGUAUCCCAUUAGUGGCAGCUCUUCGGGAAACCAAGCAGACCAUUGUUAUUUUAAUGGGAGGUCUUGGAGAUUAUUUCACAAUUUUUGUCUUCUACAAUGUUAGAUUUUCUUUGUGUCCCCACAAAACCUCCCAUUUCCACUGCACAGUGCUGAUGGGUAGGUCAUCAAUGAUAAAAAGUUUUAAAAAGAAAAUUCACCAGCCAUUGCUGGGUUGAUUAAUGAUUAACGCAAGAGCAAGGCAUGAGGACUGUGUAUUAGAACUACAUUAUGCAGCUAAGAAAAAUGUGCCUUCGUAGUAGUCAUCUUGGCAUGCUACCAUUGCCCAGCUUAUAUGUGAACACUAUGCAGGGUUGCAGAAUUUCGUGGGCUGUUUUUCUUUCUGUUUAACUCCAGGUGUGUUCUGCUGGUUGGCUCAAUCUGCAGGUGUUUGUCUGGGGUGGGAGUGACUGCUGAGGACGUCGGUGUAGCAUGGGUUGAUGCAUGGGGAAGGUGCUGUCUGCUGCUCCAUUGGAAGUGCCACGUUGACAAAGCAUGCCAACAGUGUGUUCUCUUGAUACAAACAGAGUCUGUGUUUUUAGUGGAAACUGAGCCGGUGAACUUACAAAGAACAUAUGCAAUGUGAGGGCUUUCAGGAUCCCAGUCUAGGGCAUCACAGGACUUUUGAGAACAGGGAAUAGAUGUGAAAGAGGCAUGCAGGAAGGGCUGUAUGGCUUUACAGGUCUGCUCCAACUUCUGGCUGCAUAAUAUUGCCCAUUAGUAGUAAUACACUGGGAGCUGAAUCCUGCUCUAGGCUGACGUUCCUGAUGUGGCAUGAAUGAAUAGUAGAGGAGCUGGCACGUCAAGAAAAGGAUUUUAAUUAAAAAAUAUUUUUCCAUUCCUAAAAGGAGAAGUGGGAAAUCAAAUAAUGGACUGAGGCUUUUCGCUCUUCCAUGGUAAUCCAGACUGGUAUUAUGUCUUUCAGCAUGCGUGAAGGGAAUUGGUUGAUCCAGUUGCAUUUCUUUAAGGACAGGUAAAUUGCAGCAGCACUGCCCUUGCAGAUUUCUUAACCUUUUGUUUGCAAUUGCAAAAGGGAGGAUAAGAAAUGAGGGAGCUUUAAAUGAAGGGGGAAAGCCACGGUUCUCUCCAGGUCCUUGGAGAAGUGCCUGAACACCUCGCUGCUAUCUCUGCUGAUGAAGCACAGCCAUUGCCCCCCUCACACACCUUGCUUCUGCAGCCCUGAACACAUCCAAUGCACUCACCUUGCUUUAUGGAAGCAACUCUGACCUUUUGAGCAGCAUUAGUGAAAGGGCAGUUCUAGUGAGAGCUGGAGAUAAGCUUAGAGCUAGUUUGGCCUCAAGGAGUUUUUUCCCUUAUUGGGAAACGUGUCAAAGUCAGGAGGGUGAAAAAGGCUUUAAAAGAAGUGGCCCUGAAAAAAUUCCUCAUUUCUUGUCCCUCCUGACUUUCCUCUUUGUUUACACCUGCUGUGGAGAGAACCACCUCUCUUCAUUCUGGAUGCUCUCCAUCUCUGGUGAGCAGGAGGGAUGUGAAGAGCUGAUGUAAUGCUGCUCACCAGGUACCGUGGGCACCGGUUUGGUCUGGGUACACAAAGAGCUGCCCUGGUGAAUCUCUUGUCAAGAUUUGGAUUUCAUACUUUUGAGGAACUCUUUCAUGGCAUUGAUGUACGUGUCUUCUGGCUUGAACAUGCGUCUUGCUCAGUGUAACGCCUCUCAGAUUGUUGAAAGGUUUCAGUUGUAAGAAAUGGGCUUGGGAGAGAUCCACCGAGGAUCAUGCCAGUGUCCUUUCCUGCUGAGUUGAUUCCCAGAGCAUCAUAGACAAGAUGGUGAUUGACUUACGUUGUCCUAAUGGCAUCAUGAGAUGGCAUCAGAAAUACAAAGUGAGGCUGGUAAAGGCCCUGAAGCCUGAUGCAGAGGGAGAGGGGUGGCUCAGGGCCUUUUCCAGCGGAGCGCAGACAAUCUGCAAGGAUGCAGCUCUUGCCACUUCUCGUCUCACGAUAGGUGUGUAAAUUCAAAUAUGUGAUUCCACACUCCCCCUCUGAUGCAAUAAGAUAUAUCACAUCAUAGCGCACAUCUGUAUUUGCUAGGAGCUCUGGGUCUGAGGAUCCAUCACCUCUCUUCUCUGAGUAGUUUAUGAAAUCAAUGCAAUUGAGUAUUUUUCCCCUAAUUGUAACCAAGCACCAUGUAAGUUCUCUAAACUGCACUCCAGAAAAUUUUUGCUCUAAUAUCAAGCAAGCACGGUUUUGAUACAUAGCAACCAGAUCUGUUAACACAGCCUGAGGUUUUGUUGUCUGGAAAUCCUCCAUUCUAACUAUCACAUCGAGCAUGUAGGCUACUUCAGACAAAGAGCUAUUGUUCGGUUCUUCUUGUUGACUUUCUCCAUACCGUGUUAUGGAAGCAGAAAAGACACUUUCUUUUCUAAUGGUUACGAGGAGCACAUCUGUUUGCUAGCUGCCUCAGGGAAGCUUUACCUUUCCUGAUACUUACCUAACAGCAACGGGCCAGUGGGGUUCAGUGCAGUCUUGUUAGAAAUAACAGAAGAAAAACAAGCACAACAUGCAAAAGUGACUCCAACCCUCCCUCCGUUCCCCAAAUUUUUUGGCAGCAAUCUUUUUUGUUAUUCCUAGGAAGUCAAAAUGGAUGGGGGAACCACGGGUGUAAUUAUAUUUAAAUGCCAAUACUGGGGCACGGCCCGCAGUACAAGACCUGAAAAGUUGUGCACGGCAGUCUCAGGUAAAAGCUCUCGUAAUGCAACUUGUUUGCAUCUGACUUUGACUUGUCUUUCUCUUAAGUGAAUCUUGAGGCAGUGUUAAAGGACUUACAGUGUAGUGACCCAUCAGUAAUGUCAGGUGACGUGCAGAAAGACGUGGCAGACGGACGUGCCUUAAACUGGUGAGAUUCCAGUUGCAUCAGUGGCUUCUUGUAUCAUUUCAUCACGUUUCGGUCCAGCUGUUUUUCACUUUAUCUCCACCACCUUUCAGUCCCGCUGUUCAAUGGCCGCAGUGCUGCUGAGAGGUUGGGAAGGGCUCUGACCUUCCUGAGGCUUUGAGAUUUCCAGCAAGCUUCAGAACACCAUGGACGGUGUGUUAGUCUUGGCUUUGCAAAGGUAUUCAAUGCCAACGCCGAGCCUCUUUGUGCUGAAAAAGCUGUAGUCAUGUGCCUGGCUGCCGCAGAGAUUUUGAGAACUCGGUGUGUGCUUUUAACAUCACGCAUCAAUAUUGUAAAAAUCUACUCUACAAAAGCCUUGUGAACAGGGAGAGGACUGAAGCCCUCUCAGCGUUUAAAACAACGUGGUUUCCUUGUAAUAACCGCGCUCUGUAAGGUCUUUGGAUUUCCGAAGAAAAACAAAUCUGAUUAAAAGAUGACUGAAAGAAUCAGCAAAUGUUAAUUGCGUAAUAAAAACGUAGAUAAAGCUUGCAUGGUUGGAGGUACUGGAAGAAAGGUAAGAGUUAUUAUGCCUGAGUCUGUAAAGGUGCUGCAUUGCUUCCUGGAUUUUGCUUCUCCCCACAUUUUAAAUUUACUGUAGCAGGUAGGGCUGUAACUGCCCAUCCCUCAAAUGCCAUCUUGCCACAGUUCGCAGCUGCUGAGUGCGUGCCAUUAGGUGGAAAUAGAAGUAAGGACUCUUCGUGGUAAGUGACAGCAGUUGAUAACUGAGGAAAUCUCAAGGGAAGGACAGCUAUAGGUUGUAUUCCUUUUUUUUUGUUUUUCCUUUCUCUUUUUUUCUUCUCCAAACAGCGAGGCUUUCUAGCUUGUGCUAUAUCUGCUGCUUGUAGACCAUGAUCCUGAGAUGCCAUUACCAUCUUACUGGGCAGCAUUGGAUGUUUUCUGUUUUUCUAAUACUGCCUGGUAAUGAUGAUUAUGGUGUUUCGUGUACAACGUGGAAAAGUUCAACAGCGAAUUUGGAAGCAGAGGUCAGUGGCCAAUAGAGAAACCCAAGCCUGACUGACCACCUUUGCUUGGGGAGAUUUGACAAAUUUAUCAUGAAAUGCUUCAGGUUACAGAAUGAAGGGUAAAAGCAAAUAGAAGAAAGUCUCCUUCCUGUAGAAUUAUGAAAUAAUCCCAGAGUGAGCAUGGGAACAGAAAAUCGUGCAGAAUAUAGAGCAUAGCACGUGUUUGAUAUUGCAAUGACAGAAUACAUUCAAAUGAAAAUGCUGAGUAUUGUAGCAUUCAGACGAAUGCAAGUGCUCUUCUCCAAUUAUAUUCUAUUUACUUUCAAGCCAUGUUAGCUUUCCAGAGAACAAAAGCAAACACAUUAGCAAAAAUUAGCAUUUGAGUUUUCUAGUUUAUAGUUUUCCCUCCAAAUCAAAAUGUUCUUCUAAUCUAAAUAUAAGAUAAUUUAAGGAACAGACAGCUGAAAUCAAUAGGGGAGCUUAGUUUUUCAGCCUUGCUAUUAUCAUUUGCUCUGUCCUUUUCACAUCAGCUCCUCCAGACUUCUCUCCUCCAGCGGAAAGCUCCAAUAGCAAAACCGCUUGUUUUAAAACCUUCAGCUUUUAAGUAACGUUUUUUAUUUUUAUACAGAUGGCUUUUUAAUGCCAAUUUCUCACUUCUUGGUGAGAAAGUGGGGCUGUUCUUAAGCACCACUCUCCCCUAAUGGUUUUCAUUAUUUUGGUGGACUAACACUACAAUGUGCUUUAAGGUGGCAUGGACCUGAUUCUUACUCCGUGGGGUUUCUUUCCAUAAAUUGGUGGUACUGCUUAAAGUCAUUAGGAAAGAACUAGCUCAGUCUAAAAGGACUUACUGCAAGAAAGCUGCCUUCAGUGGUUCACAGAUGCUUUUUGUUUCUUUCUGAGAAUUAAGGCAAUACAGGAAGCUUUACUCCUCCAGUUAUCAGAUACUGGAGGUGCAGUCUGAAAGCUAUCACCAAGAAGGGAUAUUGCUGCUGAUAGAUGCUUUUAUCGGGCACGGGGUGCUGUGGGCAGGUGUGUCAGUGUCCCUGGCAGGUAGGAAACACUCCAGAACACAGCAGCCCCACACACAAACCCAGGCUCCUUAUGGGUCCUGGUGUACUGCAGUGUUUAAUUAAGCACAGAGGGCUGCUUGGUCUGUGAAUGCCCAUCAGAAGUGCAAAGCCAUUCACAGACACACAGCCUGGGUGAGAUGUGUUGCGUGACAGUUUAGACCUAUACAAAGCUUGCACCUACCGUGUGAAACGCUGUGCCAGGGCCACAAAGACUUGCGAGUACCUUAGGGCUAUGAUAAAUAUGCAUGCAGCAGAGCAGUGAGGCUCAAAGCAGAGCACUCCUGCUACUGAACCAUAGUGCCUGAGAGGUACAGCCAGCUCCAAGGGGCCAGGGAAGGAGCAAACCCUGCUGCCCCUCCUGCAUGGAGAGAGGGUCAGCGGCAGCCAGAACCCCAGCAUCCCUACCAUGGCACAGAGCUCUUAGCUAACAGAACGCCUCGUGGCUCAGAACUGGGCUAGAUUUCUACAGCAAACCUCUGGAAAAGAUAAAAUGAAGCAAAGCAGGCAGCUACCCUUCAUCUUCGUCAUUAGCAUUCAUUAUGCUUAAUUACAUUACCAACAACUGCACACCUAGGUCCCCUGUCACUUUGAUUUAAGAUUCAAAUUCGUCUGCGACCCUUCAACUCCAGCUGUACAAUAAAGUAAUGUCAGUGAACUGUAUUAAAUGCUGGGUUAUCUCUGACACAUUUUUGUGCCCUUCUUAGUGCUGAUUUGUUUGUACACCAGAUUUCAGUUUGUUGUUUUAAUUGAUUGGAAAGACUCAGAGUGCUGGUACUUCUGUGAAUCAAAAGGGAGAAGGGAAUGAGGAAACCUAGAAACCAAAGGAAGGAAAUCUUCCUUCUCUUACCUUGUACUGAAAUAGAACCUAAUCUUGUGUUUCUAUUUUAGAUUUUCAGUACAUCAACUUUCUGUAUCAUCUUUGUCUCCUGAAAUCCACCACGAACUUCAAAUUAUCUUUCAGCACCAAACGUCUUCCUUCUGCCCAUCCCAUAUCUGGUAAAUUAUUGACAUGCCCGGUGAUGUAAGACAAUCUUUCUCAAGCCACUUCCAUUAGUUUUUACGGGCCACUGACAUCCUGAAGAAUGUGGACUCAUUAAAAUAGAUGCUCCAUUUCUCCAGCUGCUGGACAGACGAUGGUCCUCUGUGGGCAUCUUACUAGACAGUGCUGGAUUUCUUGGAUCUAUUCUAACACUGUCUGGUAACGAUGUUUAAAGGGUGAACCAAACAACACCAUGCGUCAGGAGGAGUUCUCAGAGAAAGACACUGUGCCACGAUUUAGGCCGAAUUGGAACAUUUGGCCAAGAGGGUAAGGAUGUUGGCUAUCGUAUUAAUGAGUAUUUUUAGGCAUAGCAAAUCGUUAUGAUCGCAAAUAGUUAUGAUAAAGAAGCUGCUGGAAACCACCCUGCUAGGCAUUCCUACUGCAGUAAAGAAGGUGAGGUGCAUGCUAGCUCUAGCACACAAAUGCACGCCUUCUCAGAAGCACAGCACUGCACAAUCCCUCCAAACGGUGGGGUUAGGGCUACUGGGUAUUUGUAUGGCCCAGCUCUUGCCCAGGGGGCUGAAAGAUUUGCUGGUAGCUUGCCGUGCUUGGCCGUGAGAGGCGCUCAGGGCAGGAUGCUGGUGGUAAAGGUCGUUCUUCCCAAUUACAGUUCAAUUACCUCCAUGGCUGAACAGCCUGUGAACUUUCAACCUUCUAACCUGCCCUGUUGCAGGCAGCGCUGGCAGCAUAUGGAGCAGGUGGGUUAAUCGCUCUAAUCAUUCCAUUAAGAAACAAAGCAAUUUAACCCAGGCAAGGAACAAGUACUGAAUGCAGAACAUGAACAUGCCAGCUCCCCAGCCAGUGCGAGUUAAUGGUGCUGCAUGAACACGUGCUGAUGUGCAGCCUCGCAUCUCUGCUUGGGUCCUGCCUCGACAUCCAUAGUUGUAUCGGUAUGAUGGGGCAACUAGAGUGGGGCCACUAAAAAAUGAAAUUCAGUCUGCACGCAGCUCAGAGAGAAGGUCAACCUAAAGUCUGGAGCUGCCUGGACCUUAGGAUCAUAUCCCAGUUCUAUUCCACAUUUAAAGCAUUGAUUUCCUUUGGAAGAUGAUGAUCUAGAGCAGUAGAGUUAACAAACCAGUAACUUUGACUUCAUCCAAAUCCGAAUGAAAAUUUGGGCACGGCCUACCUCCAGAGAAUAAGAAUUCAAGGCAGGACUCAUUAACAGGCCACUGUACGAGCUGAGACUCACCCUUACACAAGGAGCGUUGGUGCAUUUCUCAAAGAACAUCAAGUUUUGGGGUUCCUGGGGACCCGCUCUGGUGUGGGAUAGCGCACAGACCUGGUGCUGGUUUUUCAGAAUUGCGCCCAUUGGUUUUCAGCUCCUUUCUGUAAGAAACAUAGGGGAACAUUACACACAAGCUUGGACCACAUGCUCCUCUCCCCAGCUCUUUCUACAGGCUCCCGGGACUGCUCUGUGCUUGAAUCACAGCACUAAAACCUUUUCCUCAUCCUCAGCUUAUUGCUAAUCCCCUCCUUCCCGGAUAAAACAGGUACAGCAGCCCAGUGGCACGCAAGCAAAAAAACUCUCAGUGCCUUUUCAACCCUGUCCAGGAUGCUGUCGUACCAAAACUACCGCGUAAUACAGGAACAGUAGAAAAAUGAACCAAAGGCAGCUCCCACAGAGGUGCUCUUGCCCUUGCAGGUUGCAGUUCUCAGGAAAACGAGGGCAGGAGGGAGCAGAGGAGCAUUCUUUGGUGAUUAGCCUCUGUGUGACUUAUUAACUGGCUCACAAGGGAUUGAGGAAAUGGUGUGAAAUUUGAGUGAUUCUGCAAAUUGGCUUUUAACAAGCAUUUAAAUAAGAUGAAUUGGAGCACGCACCCAACUCCCAUCCAUCUUCUCUUCUUAAAACUCGAGAUGGAUGCUAACCCUGGAUGGAAUAAAAAAAAAAAAUAAUAAAAAAGGAAGAUAACAGUAAUUGGGCAUCCCCGGCAUGCACAGGGAUGUCACCUUAAGUUAAAAAGGGAAAAAAGCAGUGGAACCAAGGAAAUUCCCCUGCCCUCCCUCAUGCUGAUUUAUGCCUAGGAAAGCGUCCACUCAGCCUUAUCAGGGCGAGAACAGUGAGUCAUGGGAGUCAGGAGCAACCCAGCGAAAUCCCCUCGGCCUCAGUAUCUUUCCCUCCCUCCCCUUCUCCCACCGACAUUCAGCUUGCUUAGCUCAGUCUCAUAGCAGAGCAAUUCCACGGGCAGAACUGAUGCUCACUGCGCUAGAAGAGCUAAGACCCAGUCUGCAUUAGGCUUCACUCGGGCUGGGGGUUCAGUAUCGAUGAGCACACAGCUGUGGGGGGCAGCUGAACCACAUCUGCAUCCCUGCUGGGUGAUGGAGCUGCAGCACACGGGGAUGGCAAGCAAGCAUUUCACAGCAACGUGGAUGUGGAGGAUGGAGCCGGGGGUAAGUUAAGCAAGUUCUUUACAGUAUGUUUUAGUUCUCAUGCCAGCGAACUGCAAACAGUGGCGUUCUCACGAUUGUACUGCCUGUAUUUCAAGUUAAAUAUUUACUGGUUACUGAUGUGUCUAUGGGAGAGGCCCUCGGCCUUUCCCCGCCCCAUCACUGUAGUCCUGGAGCUGAAAGAAGUGCUUUCCUGUUGGUUUCCUUUAGCCUGCUGAUUGCUGUCUUACCAGGCAAAGUUAGAUCUAGCUAUUUCUGUCUAAUACUGUCUGGUAAUGCCGUCAAUCGCAUCGGCAAAAGUCUUCAUCUUGACAGAAACACGGAGGGAAAAGCUGGCUUCUGUCAGAAGAACCAAGGAGGUUUGGUGCCCGGGCCUUCUCGCUGAGCCUGGGCUUGUGCUGAAAGCUCAUCCACACGCACUGCUUCUGUUAGCAGCCAAGAUGUGCUGUAAAGCACACGCGGGAGAUGAGGAAAGUCAAAGAGCAGGCGGUGAGCACGUAGGCAGGGCAGGCAGGUAGGGCAGGCUCCUGUGCAGCUAACUGCACGUUGGUGACUUUUGGACCCCUUAUCAGAUUUCUCUGAAAUGCGAUGGGCAGAGCUGUACCAACCCAAUGGCAAUGAGAAAGCCUUCCUUCAGGAAAACAACCCACUGGGGCAGAGGCCGGCAUUGCCCAGGACAGAGUGAGCUCAGCUGGGGCUGAGUGCUCCUGUGCUCAGCACAGAAAGCUGAAAGCAGAAAGGUGCUUAAGACAUUUCUCUGAGUGAAUUUAGGCCAUUUUGCCAUCUGAGUUCACUCUCUGCUCAAGCAGCUGCUCCCGUUAGGAAAUAAUUUGUUAGAUGAGCAGAACUUAACAGCAGAUCAGUACAUCCUGCUACUACACUGCUACUUCAGAUAAGGGCUACUUAAUUUUUAUGCCGCUAGAAAAGUGCUUCUUAAAAGCGUCAUUAAAAAAAGGGUCUGCAAAGCCCUCGGUUCAGCACAUCUUCUGUUCGGGAUGUGGUUAAGUUAUGCAGUAGGAAGGCGGACUUCCUGAAGAGCGCUCUGGUUCUCUACCAGCCAAAAUUCGUCCUGCCCCUAAUGAGAGCCAAGCAAUAAGCUGUGCCAGCUGCAGGGUUUCAGAGCAGCGCAGCAGGAUGUAUUCCCGACCUCACCUGAGGAGCACCCCGAGGCACGAGAACAAGGAUGGCACAGCUCUAUCCUCCAGCCCAGUCUCACUCAAUUGUCAGGAAUUUCCCAUUAGGAAACCUCCCUGCCCCACACUGCUCAGACAGUGCAGAUGGUAUCUGUGUCCUGCUCGCAGUGACUCAUGCUGGCAAGUCUCAUUUUGCAGGGUACAAGUGAUAGCCCUUUCCAUAGUGCAGCUCUUUCACAGGAACUUGCUGCUUCCUUUGAUAUAUUGCAGCGUCUCCUCUAGACAAUUUUACACAUUUUCAGUGCCAUCCCUGAACUGCAGCUGCUGGAUUCCUUGUUUUCCUUUCCUCUGUGUGCUCUCCUCAUCCAACACCUCUGCAUUUCACAGGAGUUGGAGUCUCUCAUCAAAGUUCCCGUUUCUGUUUCUCUCUGGUGCUCAAGUGUCCCUUUGGAAUUCAGGCGUUCCUUGAAAUGAAAGGAGCCUGACCUUUCGGCAGCACUGCCCUUGGCUGGUUAUCUUUAAAAGAAGUGAAAACAAGAACUACCUCCAUCUUCAUAAAAUGGGUUCUUGGUAAGUUGGUAAUACCGAAAAACAAACAAGCAACGCAAUGUCCCGGUUAGGUGGUUUUAAAGGGAAAUAUGUACAACACAUUCUCAAAGAGACUGAGGAUACAACUACAGUCCUUAACACUGUGUUCACAUAUUUCUUUUACUAACUGCUGCAAUCACGAUGAUGAAUAUUUUCACUGUUUUUUUUAAUCACUAGAAUCCACAUGUGUGGACAAACAUUCCAAGGUUUUCUGCACGGAAAUAGGAAGAAAAGUUCCCCUGGCUGCUAUCACAUAAAUGCAUGUGUAUGCCCUACCUAGUACUGAACUUGCUGCUUCAAUGCCUUAGAGUUUAUGCUUUGUUAAGCUUUUAAACUCUGUAUUUAAUAAAAGACUUAUUUGGAAACAAUA